UUUCCCUCCAAGAAACCCCAUACAUGCCAUGCUUUGCCUUUGCUUUGCUGCCAGAUUGUUUUUCUACAUCUCUGGACACAGUCUCCUUCGUGUUAUUUCUAGUAUCUUUGUGUAUCUACGUCCGUUUGGGGUUUUGGACCUUCACCUACUGCUCCUUUGUUUGGACUUACCUCUCUGGUUCUGGGACGCUUCCUGUAUCACCCUCGAGAAAGACAUUUCUAUGUCGUCAAGUGAAGAAACUCGCCGUCUGACCUGCGCUAACCUGGCAGCAGAGAGAAGUGAAGCGUCUGAAUUUACAAGAAAACCGUAAUCUGGUGGCGUUAGAAUGAAUUAGUUUUAACCACAGUGGAGGUAAAGCGUGUGCAAUGUACGCCGCUGAAAUCCGAGGCUGCAGCUGGAACGUACCCGCUGAUCUCAGAUGGCUGCGAAGCGACUUAAUCGCCUGAGAGUGAAGGCUGUCGCGGCUGACAUAUGCUGUAAAUAUCACAGCCUUCCAGCAUUACACUGCUAUAAUCUGAUUAAAAUUGUAUAUUGCACAGCAUAUGGAAUGUGUCUCCUUGCCUGAAGAAUGAGUAAGACGGAUGAGGAAAUACAUAAAG
Hippoglossus stenolepis (Pacific halibut) is the source of this 599-nucleotide long non-coding RNA. RefSeq lists it as uncharacterized. The transcript is spliced from 3 exons. NCBI's taxonomy places the organism in Eukaryota, Metazoa, Chordata, Actinopteri, Pleuronectiformes, Pleuronectidae. The record is from RefSeq and is a predicted model, not a curated record.